This 810-nucleotide ribosomal RNA is filed under the name uncultured bacterium. Its description in RNAcentral is "bacterial SSU rRNA". It matches the Rfam family "Bacterial small subunit ribosomal RNA", at positions 8 to 796 of the family's 1533-position model. The record is from RNAcentral.
AGAGUUUGAUCAUGGCUCAGAAUGAACGCUGGCGGCGUGCUUAACACAUGCAAGUCGAGCGAGGCCUGGGGGGCAACUCCCAGAGUCGAGCGGCGGACGGGUGAGUAACACGUGGGUAACCUGCCCGGAAGUGGGGAAUACCUCGGGGAAACUCGAGCUAAUACCGCAUGACAUCUUCGGGACGAAAGUCCUGACGAUCAAAGCGGGGUCGCAAGAUCUCGCGCUACCGGAUGGGCCCGCGCCCGAUUAGCUAGUUGGUGAGGUAACGGCUCACCAAGGCUUCGAUCGGUAACCGGCCUGAGAGGGCGAUCGGUCACACCGGAACUGAGACACGGCCCGGACUCCUACGGGAGGCAGCAGUGGGGAAUCUUGCGCAAUGGGCGAAAGCCUGACGCAGCAACGCCGCGUGGAGGAUGAAGGCCCUUGGGUUGUAAACUCCUGUCGGCUGGGAAGAAAUCGUACGGUGCUCAUACCACCGUGCGUUGACUGUACCAGCAAAGGAAGCCCCGGCUAACUCUGUGCCAGCAGCCGCGGUAAUACAGAGGGGGCUAGCGUUAUUCGGAAUUAUUGGGCGUAAAGGGCGCGUAGGCGGCUCUGCGUGUCUUCCGUGAAAUCCCUCGGCUCAACUGAGGACGUGCGGAAGAAACUGCAGGGCUCGAGUCCGGGAGAGGGGGGUGGAAUUCCCAGUGUAGCGGUGAAAUGCGUAGAUAUUGGGAGGAACACCGGUGGCGAAGGCGGCCCCCUGGACCGGUACUGACGCUGAGGCGCGAAAGCGUGGGGAGCAAACGGGAUUAGAUACCCUAGUAGUCC